Bombina bombina (fire-bellied toad) is the source of this 463-nucleotide long non-coding RNA. RefSeq lists it as uncharacterized. The record is from RefSeq and is a predicted model, not a curated record. NCBI's taxonomy places the organism in Eukaryota, Metazoa, Chordata, Amphibia, Anura, Bombinatoridae. The transcript is spliced from 3 exons.
CGGGGAGAUUGAAAUGUUCCACCAAAAUGGUGGAGAACAGGGCUGGAGAGCGUUUGAUAAAUUGUGACUGCUUGUGCGAACCUGCAGUCAAAGUGGAGGAAAGGGCUUGAUAAAUCUAGCCCUAUACAGAUGCAUCAUUUCAUCUUUAUCUGUGUAAACACUCAUUUGCUAUUUGUCAGACCAUUCUUCUGGCAGAGUAACAUAUCUCACAGAGAGCCGAAACCUGCUAUUUAUAAGCAUUAAUUGCACACAAAAAUGUGAUAAUGACGAAUGAGCCCAAGCAAGCCACUUAUUCAACAAUUCAAUGUAUGCAUGUUUGGGGGAAAUGACGAUGGAUUUUUAUAUGCUCAGAAAAAAUUAACAUAAAACGGUUUGCAAAUCACAGCAUUAACUUUUCCUGGAAACCCUUAACUUGCACUUUGGAAUAUUUUCUAUCUGCUAUCAAUAACAUCUUAUGCAAUCA